Molecule: non-coding RNA, 250 nt
Filed under: Clostridium sp.
Lineage: Bacteria; Bacillati; Bacillota; Clostridia; Eubacteriales; Clostridiaceae
Description: T-box sequence
Rfam family: T-box leader
About the family: Uncharged tRNA acts as the effector for transcription antitermination of genes in the T-box leader family. T-boxes are found upstream of many aminoacyl-tRNA synthetase genes and some amino acid biosynthetic genes usually in Gram-positive bacteria. The anticodon of a specific tRNA base pairs to a specifier sequence within the T-box motif, and the NCCA acceptor tail of the tRNA base pairs to a conserved bulge in the T-box antiterminator hairpin.
Source: RNAcentral
GCAAAGGCGAGGAAGAGAACAAGUAGUGUUUGCGAGCAGCUGCCACAGAAAGCAGCCGGUUGAUGAGAGGCGCGGUAAGUCGGAAACAUGAAUACAUCUCGGAGCUGCUCCCUGAACGCUUGUCAAGUAGGGGCAGACGGAUUGGCACACGUUACAGAGGCUGAAGUAUUGAUAUCGAUACUUGCAAAGGCGGUUAUCGUGAGGUAAGCGUGAAAUAAGGUGGUAACACGGAGUAUACUUCGUCCUUAUA